RNAcentral lists this ribosomal RNA (202 nucleotides) under uncultured bacterium. RNAcentral describes it as "partial 16S ribosomal RNA". It matches the Rfam family "Bacterial small subunit ribosomal RNA", at positions 524 to 725 of the family's 1533-position model. The record is from RNAcentral.
UACGGAGGGUGCAAGCGUUAAUCGGAAUUACUGGGCGUAAAGGGCACGCAGGCGGAUAUUUAAGUGAGAGGUGAAAUCCCCGGGCUUAACCUGGGAAUUGCCUUUCAGACUGGGAAUCUAGAGUACUUGAGGGAGGGGUAGAAUUCCGCGUGUAGAGGUGAAAUGCGUAGAGAUGUGGAGGAAUACCGAAGGCGAAGGCAGC